GGGCCCGUGGUGUAACGGGAACACAGCACUCUGUCCAAGUCGCAGAUGCGGGUUCGAAUCCCGCCGGGUCCA
RNAcentral lists this transfer RNA (72 nucleotides) under Verrucomicrobiota bacterium. RNAcentral's name for it is "Verrucomicrobia bacterium tRNA-Asp". It matches the Rfam family "tRNA". Rfam says of the family: Transfer RNA (tRNA) molecules are approximately 80 nucleotides in length. Lineage: Bacteria; Pseudomonadati; Verrucomicrobiota. The record is from RNAcentral.